This is a long non-coding RNA of Bos taurus (domestic cattle), 2896 nucleotides long. The record is from Ensembl. NCBI's taxonomy places the organism in Eukaryota, Metazoa, Chordata, Mammalia, Artiodactyla, Bovidae.
CUGACUGGUUCAUAGCAAAAGUAGGUUGAAGCCCACCAGGAGGCAUUGAGCUUUGAAGGUUGUGAGUUGCCGGGAGAGAAGCAGAGAUGAGGUUUCAGGAGCUGCUGGAGAGAAAAGGUGUUCGUGUAGCCUUGGGUAGCGGGGCCGUUACGUUAUAUCCUCAGGAAAGAAAAAAAGAGAGUGAAGUCGCUCAGUCAUGUCUGACUCUUUGCGACCCUAUGGACUGUAGCCUACCAGGCUUGUCUUCUCUGUCCAUGGGAUUCUUCAGGCAAGAAUACUGGAGUGGGUUACCAUUUCCUUCUUCAGGGGAUCUUCCUGACCCAGGGAUCGAACCCGAGUCUCCCGCAUUGGGGGCAGGCUCUUUAACCUCUGAGCCAUCAGGGACCCUCAGGAAAAGGAGCUGUAAAUCCUGGAAGCCAGAUUCUGAUCUGCUCCCUCCCAGAAGAAACCAUAGUUGUGUCAAUCUCUGCCCCCUGGGCAGGUCCUGGCGCCAGAACCACACAUCAGGGAGCUCCUGCCCCAGGAGGUGCAUGAAGAGGCCUUAGGCUGGACCUGCCCACCCUGCCCAGUCACCGGUGGGACAUCUCUACCCGGCUGCACCUUAUGUGUCUCCUGCCUUUGGUGACCACCACCUCUCCCUUGGGCUCCCAGGUCUGGAAACUUUGAGUUAUCUCAGAGUCUUCCCACUUCCUCUUCUGCUCCCACAGGUAGGCAGUCACCUUGUUUUGAUUUUCUCUCUGAAAGGCCCCUCCAAGGAUUUCCCCUCCUUUCCCUGGUUGUGGCCUUUAUCAGCCCUCCCGUGGACCAAGAUGUGCCAGCAUUCAUUCCUCCUCCUUUCAGCAGGAGGUCGGCAUUCACCCUCUUGGUAAUUUCCCACCCUCCCCUUUGCCCUGAGAACACACCCUACACAGCCACUAGGUUCUUAACAGUCGUGUCACCCAGACUGUCUUCUUUUUUUUAAUUUAAAUUUAUUUUAAUUUCAGGCUAAUUACUUUACAAUAUUGUAGUGGUUUUUGCCAUAUAUUGACACCUAUCAGCCAUGGGUGUACAUGUCAGACUGUCUUCUUUUCACUUCAUCUGUUGUUUUGUGAAGUAUUCCAAGGUCGAUUACAGAUGUGACAUUUCACCCUGAAACAUUUUAGUAUGCAUCUUUAAAAAAAUAGAGAAAAUUUCCUAUAUAAUCGUACUAUCAUUAAUAACAUUAUUUUCUCGUGUCUAAUCUUCUGUUAUAUUCAUAUUUGCCUAGUUGUUCCAAUACGUUGGCCACCUGUGGAGAAGGGCUGAUUCACUGGAAAAGACCCUGAUGCUGGGAAAGAUUGAGGGCAGGAGGAGAAGGGGACAACAAAGGAUGAGAUGAUUGGACGGGAUCAUUGACUCAAUGGACAUGAGUGUGAGCAAGCUCCGGGAGAUGGAGAAGGACAGGGAAGGCUGGCAGACUGCAGUCCAUGGGGUCACAAAGAGUCAGACAUGACUUAGCAACUGAAUGACAAGUUCUUCCUAAAAUGUCUUUAGAUUCAGUCAACGACCAAGCAUUAUGCUUAGUGUUUUGGUAGCUAAAGUUUCUCAGUCUUGACUGCAGACCACCUCCCUGCCCACCAUUUGUCACCACAUCCUUCCCCAGCCCUGUGAGCCAGCCAACCCCAAUAUGCCACGAGGGAUCUUUAGUUCCCAUGCCCCUGCACUGGAAGGGCUUCGUUUUUUUAAUUGAUUUAUUUUUGGCUGCGCUGGGUCUUCAUUGCUGCAUGUGGGCUUUCUCCACUUGUGGUGUGUGGGCUUCUCAUCACAGUGUCUUCUCUUGUUGCAGAACACAGGCUCUAGGGAGUGCAGGCUUCAGUAGUUGUGUUACACAGGCUUAGCUGCCCUAUGGCAUGUGGGAUCUUCCUGGACCAGAGAUCGAACUAGUGUCUCCUGCACUGCAAGGCAGAUUCUUAACCACUGGACCACCAGGAAAGUUCCUGCCAUGGACUUUUAAAACUAAUCCUUUUUACACUUGACCCUUUCCUUGUCCCUGGAACUGAGCGACUGCCCUUUUAUUGUUUAAGGUCACCUCAGAGAGUAGGGCUUCCCAAGUGGCACUUGUGGUAAAGAACUCAACUGCCAAUGCAGGAGACAUAAGAGGCGCAGGUUCGAUCCCUGUGUCAGGAAGAUCCCUUGGAGGAAGGUAUGGCAACCCACUCCAGUAUUCUUGCCUGGAGAAUCCCUUGGACAGAGGAGCCUGGUGGGCUACAGUCCAUGGGGUCACAAAGAGUCGGAUACGACUGAGUGACUAACACAUACACCUCAGAGAGCACCAAGCACCUCGGUGAAAUUCAUUCUUUUUUGUUUUUCUCUGGGGCAGAGGCACCACCCGUCCCUCCCUCUGAGCUCAUCCAGCUGCCACCAGGGGUUUCUGCCUCUGUUCACAGCGUGGGCUUGCUUCUGCCUGCUGGCACAGCACGGGGCCACCAAUUCUCUUGCCACACUGGCCCUGUGCCCAGCACAUGGCUGGCAGAAACAGAUGAAUACUCCUUACUUCAGCAUCUUGGUUCCUCCUUCACAGCUCACCUGCAGUGAUAACUGGGAAACAAAGUCCAGAAGUGGAGAAGGACAUGGCGAUCCACUCCAGUGUUCUUGCUUGGAGAGUGCCAUGGACAGAAGAGCCUAGUGGGCUCCAGUCCAUGGGGUUGCACAGGGUUGGACAGGACUGAAGCGACUUAGCAGGCAUGCAGGCACGCCAGGUCCACAAGGGCCUCGGUGUGUCUUACUGGAAGAUUGUGAUCCUGGAAGCUGGUUCUCAGCCCAGCCCAGAUGGCCUUCCUUUUGCUCUUAGUUUCUUUCCUUCCUUGACAUGUACUGAGGCUCAGGAAAUGGUUCUUCAGGCUGGCUGAGAAGAAUCUGAGGGGCGGGGCCCAGGCGG